Molecule: non-coding RNA, 112 nt
Filed under: Vannella robusta
Lineage: Eukaryota; Discosea; Flabellinia; Vannellidae
Source: RNAcentral
UAAAGAAGAGAAGCAAAGAAGACUCGAACAAAACAAAAAAACGAGAAAACAGGUCUAUUCUAUUGUCAUUCCUGUUAUCAUCUCGAUUCUCGCUGUUGUAUUUUUGAUUAUU